AUGAACGCUAGCUACAGGCUUAACACAUGCAAGUCGAGGGGAAACGACAUCGAAAGCUUGCUUUUGAUGGGCGUCGACCGGCGCACGGGUGAGUAACGCGUAUCCAACCUGCCCACCACUUGGGGAUAACCUUGCGAAAGUAAGACUAAUACCCAAUGACGUCUCUAGAAGACAUCUGAAGGAGAUUAAAGAUUUAUCGGUGAUGGAUGGGGAUGCGUCUGAUUAGCUUGUUGGCGGGGUAACGGCCCACCAAGGCGACGAUCAGUAGGGGUUCUGAGAGGAAGGUCCCCCACAUUGGAACUGAGACACGGUCCAAACUCCUACGGGAGGCAGCAGUGAGGAAUAUUGGUCAAUGGGCGAGAGCCUGAACCAGCCAAGUAGCGUGCAGGAUGACGGCCCUAUGGGUUGUAAACUGCUUUUAUAAGGGAAUAAAGUGAGUCUCGUGAGACUUUUUGCAUGUACCUUAUGAAUAAGGACCGGCUAAUUCCGUGCCAGCAGCCGCGGUAAUACGGAAGGUCCGGGCGUUAUCCGGAUUUAUUGGGUUUAAAGGGAGCGUAGGCCGGAGAUUAAGCGUGUUGUGAAAUGUAGAUGCUCAACAUCUGCACUGCAGCGCGAACUGGUUUCCUUGAGUACGCACAAAGUGGGCGGAAUUCGUGGUGUAGCGGUGAAAUGCUUAGAUAUCACGAAGAACUCCGAUUGCGAAGGCAGCUCACUGGAGCGCAACUGACGCUGAAGCUCGAAAGUGCGGGUAUCGAACAGGAUUAGAUACCCUGGUAGUCCGCACGGUAAACGAUGGAUGCCCGCUGUUGGUCUGAAUAGGUCAGCGGCCAAGCGAAAGCAUUAAGCAUCCCACCUGGGGAGUACGCCGGCAACGGUGAAACUCAAAGGAAUUGACGGAAGG
This 901-nucleotide ribosomal RNA is filed under the name uncultured bacterium. Its description in RNAcentral is "bacterial SSU rRNA". It matches the Rfam family "Bacterial small subunit ribosomal RNA", at positions 29 to 920 of the family's 1533-position model. The record is from RNAcentral.